This 2136-nucleotide small RNA is filed under the name Pongo abelii (Sumatran orangutan). Its description in RNAcentral is "retained intron". Lineage: Eukaryota; Metazoa; Chordata; Mammalia; Primates; Hominidae. The record is from RNAcentral.
UUGAUUGAAACCAGUAAAUGCUUCUCUUUGGGGAUGGGGUUUUAGUUUCAAAUGCCCCCAGGGGGUUACUUUUUACUGCCCCGUGUCCUGUAACACCGUCAUUUAAAUGGAACAGCACAACGUGCACCACCGCCCCCCACCCCUCGACCAAGCAGGGCCCUUCCCAGCUCUCCAUCUGCUGGGCUGAAAUCAGCCUUCCCAGCUGGGCCUUGAUCAGAAGCGUGCCCCAACACCCCGGGAGCUGCCUGGUCAGGGGAGGAGGGCACGGAAAUGGGGCCAGGGCGCGCCGGCCCCGCAGAGCCUGGCCGUGACGUCCAGGUGGUGCCCUGGCCGGCCCCUGCGGCCGCCUGCUGCAGUUGGCCGGUUUUGCUUGCAGACAUCGACGAGUGUGCAGACUCGGAGGCCUGCGGGGAGGCGCGCUGCAAGAACCUGCCGGGCUCCUACUCCUGCCUCUGUGAGGAGGGCUUUGCGUACAGCUCCCGGGAGAAGGCUUGCCGAGAUGUGGAUGAGUGUCUGCAGGGCCGCUGUGAGCAGGUCUGCGUGAACUCCCCAGGGAGCUACACCUGCCACUGUGACGGGCGUGGGGGCCUCAAGCUGUCCCAGGACAUGGACACCUGUGAGGACAUCUUGCCGUGCGUGCCCUUCAGCGUGGCCAAGAGUGUGAAGUCCUUGUACCUGGGCCGGAUGUUCAGUGGGACCCCCGUGAUCCGACUGCGCUUCAAGAGGCUGCAGCCCACCAGGCUCGUAGCUGAGUUUGACUUCCGGACCUUUGACCCCGAGGGCAUCCUCCUGUUCGCUGGAGGCCACCAGGACAGCACCUGGAUCGUGCUGGCCCUGCGAGCCGGGCGGCUGGAGCUGCAGCUGCGCUACAACGGUGUCGGCCGCGUCACCAGCAGCGGCCCGGUCAUCAACCAUGGCAUGUGGCAGACAAUCUCUGUUGAGGAGCUGGCGCGGAAUCUGGUCAUCAAGGUUAACAGGGACGCUGUCAUGAAAAUCGCGGUGGCCGGGGACUUGUUCCAACCGGAGCGAGGACUGUAUCAUCUGAACCUCACCGUGGGAGGUAUUCCCUUCCAUGAGAAGGACCUCGUGCAGCCUAUAAACCCUCGUCUGGAUGGCUGCAUGAGGAGCUGGAACUGGCUGAACGGAGAAGACACCACCAUCCAGGAAACGGUGAAAGUGAACACGAGGAUGCAGUGCUUCUCGGUGACAGAGAGAGGCUCUUUCUACCCUGGGAGCGGCUUCGCCUUCUACAGCCUGGACUACAUGCAGACCCCUCUGGACAUCGGGACUGAAUCAACCUGGGAAAUAGAAGUUGUGGCUCACAUCCGCCCAGCCGCAGACACGGGUGUGCUCUUCGCGCUCUGGGUCCCCGACCUCCGUGCCGUGCCUCUCUCUGUGGCCCUGGUAGACUAUCACUCGACGAAGAAGCUCAAGAAGCAGCUGGUGGUCCUGGCCGUGGAGCACGUGGCCUUGGCCCUAAUGGAAAUCAAGGUCUGCGACGGCCAAGAGCACGUGGUCACCGUCUCGCUGAGGGACGGUGAGGCCACCCUGGAGGUGGACGGCACCAGGGGCCAGAGCGAGGUGAGCACCGCGCAGCUGCAGGAGAGGCUGGCCGUGCUCGAGAGGCACCUGCGGAGCCCCGUGCUCACCUUUGCUGGCGGCCUGCCAGAUGUGCCAGUGACUUCAGCGCCAGUCACCGCAUUCUACCGGGGCUGCAUGACGCUGGAGGUCAACCGGAGGCUGCUGGACCUGGACGAGGCGGCAUACAAGCACAGCGACAUCACGGCCCACUCCUGCCCCCCCGUGGAGCCCACCACAGCCUAGGCCCCUGCGGGACGCGGCAGGCCCCUCAGCCUCUGUCCAAAACAGCCAGGAGGAGCCUAGGGGCUCCUCACCACGUGCGGCCAUGCUGAGAGCUGGGCUUUCCUCUGUGACCGUCCUGGCCUGUAACAUAUCUGUAAAUAGUGAGAUGGACGUGGGGCCUCUGACGCCGCGCACUCAGCCGCGGGCCUGGGCACGGGGAGGCCGGCGCAGGGCAGAGCGGGCUCGAAGAAAAUAAUUCUCUAUUAUUUUUAUUACCAAAUGCUUCUUUCUGACUCUAAAAUAUGGAAAAUAAAAUAUUUACAGAAAGCUUUG